AGAGAAAAUGAGGAGGAAAUAGUUGCGGAAAAUAUUGAUGGUGAAGUGGGGGAGUGGAGUGAAAAGGAAGAAGUUGAAAAGACCAAAACGAAUGGUGAAGUUGAAAAGAAAAAAAGUGUGGAGAUUGAGAAGAAUACAAGUGAUGAAGUAGUGGUGGAGCCAGUGAAAAAACCUAGAUGGAGGAGUUCGAGAAUUGCAAAAGGAAAGGAGGUAGUGAGCGCUACUCCAAUCCAAAACCUUC
RNAcentral lists this long non-coding RNA (241 nucleotides) under Lathyrus oleraceus (garden pea). RNAcentral describes it as "Pisum sativum (pea) long non-coding RNA (PSAT_LNC032935)". Lineage: Eukaryota; Viridiplantae; Streptophyta; Magnoliopsida; Fabales; Fabaceae. The record is from RNAcentral.